RNAcentral lists this ribosomal RNA (253 nucleotides) under uncultured bacterium. RNAcentral's name for it is "partial 16S ribosomal RNA". It matches the Rfam family "Bacterial small subunit ribosomal RNA", at positions 524 to 776 of the family's 1533-position model. The record is from RNAcentral.
UACGGAGGGUGCAAGCGUUAUCCGGAAUCAUUGGGUUUAAAGGGUCCGCAGGCGGUCUUAUAAGUCAGGGGUGAAAGCCUACAGCUCAACUGUAGAACUGCCAUUGAUACUGUAAGACUUGAAUUCGGUCGAAGUGGGCGGAAUAUGACAUGUAGCGGUGAAAUGCUUAGAUAUGUCAUAGAACACCGAUAGCGAAGGCAGCUCACUAGGCCUGGAUUGACGCUCAGGGACGAAAGCGUGGGGAGCAAACAGG